GGGCCUGUAGCUCAGCUGGGAGAGCGCUACAAUCGCACUGUAGAGGUCGCGAGUUCGAGUCUCGCCAGGUCCA
This 73-nucleotide transfer RNA is filed under the name Chloroflexota bacterium. RNAcentral's name for it is "Chloroflexi bacterium tRNA-Ala". It matches the Rfam family "tRNA". Rfam says of the family: Transfer RNA (tRNA) molecules are approximately 80 nucleotides in length. Their secondary structure includes four short double-helical elements and three loops (D, anti-codon, and T loops). Further hydrogen bonds mediate the characteristic L-shaped molecular structure. tRNAs have two regions of fundamental functional importance: the anti-codon, which is responsible for specific mRNA codon recognition, and the 3' end, to which the tRNAs corresponding amino acid is attached (by aminoacyl-tRNA synthetases). tRNAs cope with the degeneracy of the genetic code in two manners: having more than one tRNA (with a specific anti-codon) for a particular amino acid; and 'wobble' base-pairing, i.e. permitting non-standard base-pairing at the 3rd anti-codon position. RNAcentral also lists the same sequence under 1 other name. The record is from RNAcentral. Lineage: Bacteria; Bacillati; Chloroflexota.